GCGGUUGUGUCUCAGCGGUAGAGUGCAUGUGCAGCAAGUGUGAGGCCCUGGGUUCAAUCCUCAGCACCACA
RNAcentral lists this transfer RNA (71 nucleotides) under Marmota monax (woodchuck). RNAcentral describes it as "tRNA.Ala". Lineage: Eukaryota; Metazoa; Chordata; Mammalia; Rodentia; Sciuridae. The record is from RNAcentral.